This 829-nucleotide long non-coding RNA is filed under the name Anser brachyrhynchus (Pink-footed goose). RNAcentral describes it as "lncRNA (ENSABRG00000015605.1)". The record is from RNAcentral. Lineage: Eukaryota; Metazoa; Chordata; Aves; Anseriformes; Anatidae.
GAUCCAAUGGUGACGUGAUGGACCGUGACCGGAGUGGUGCGUCUCGGUGCUGUGAUGCAGGCCCAGUCAUCUCCCUCAGAAAGUCAUUCCCUGUGCAUGGCUGGCCUGAGCCAACUUACUCCGUGGCAACGUGCCCAUUGUUUGCUGUGAAUUUAGAACCUGAAGCUAAGGAUGAAAGCCCUUGUCAGCUGUGCAGGUUUUGGUAACCUUGGAGAAACAAGUUACAGCAACCAUCAGCCCAGGCGACAAAUUUGCAAGCAGGCCAGGGUGCAGGCGGGAGGAUCUGAUCUGAGAGAGGACAAAAGACUCGGCUCACGCUGCAGAGCGCUGUGGCUGAUCCUUUUGUAUGCAAGACCAGCAGACUUGCCUGAAACAGGAACCUUGGAGGUAAAUCAGGCUAAUGAAGCAGCUCAGAGAGGCAAUGUGCAUUAUUUUGUAUCCCACAAUGAUUUUAAAGUCAACACACAUGCAGUACCGAGUAUUUUGAAGCCUAAGAUACCUGUAGGAGAUCCAAGAGAAGGCGGUUCAUCUAGUCUCCUCAGUGCUUUCAUUUAACUGAUAGCAAUUAGCUCUCUUUUCAUAGUGAGAAAUACAGGAACCAUUUCACUCUCUGGAUAAAUUUUAUCUAGGCAAGAAAUUAUGUUAUGACAGUUGCUAUCCGUGAUGCUAAAAUGCUUUUAUUAGGACAAUUACAGCUCUUUUUACUCUAGGCUGAAAGAGAAAGUGAAAAGCUAGCUUUGCUAGAGAGAAGGCACUUUGUUAGGAAUGGCCUUUUGCUGCAAAAAGAUCAGAGUUUUCUGGAUUAAUCUUUGGAUUAUAUAGAUUUUCC